RNAcentral lists this ribosomal RNA (250 nucleotides) under uncultured bacterium. RNAcentral describes it as "partial 16S ribosomal RNA". It matches the Rfam family "Bacterial small subunit ribosomal RNA", at positions 524 to 773 of the family's 1533-position model. The record is from RNAcentral.
UACAGAGGGUGCAAGCGUUGCUCGGAAUUAUUGGGCGUAAAGGGUAGGUAGGUGGUCUUAUUUGUCUGGGGUGAAAGCCUUGAGCUUAACUCAAGAAGUGCCUCAGAAACGGUGAGACUAGAGUACUGGAGAGGAUAGUGGAAUUCCCGGUGUAGCGGUGAAAUGCGUAGAGAUCGGGAGGAACACCAGCGGCGAAGGCGGCUAUCUGGACAGUAACUGACACUAAACUACGAAAGCGUGGGGAGCAAAC